Molecule: ribosomal RNA, 162 nt
Filed under: uncultured soil bacterium
Lineage: Bacteria
Description: partial 16S ribosomal RNA
Rfam family: Bacterial small subunit ribosomal RNA
Source: RNAcentral
AGAUUGAACGCUGGCGGCAUGCCUUACACAUGCAAGUCGAACGGUAACAGGGAGCUUGCUCCGCUGACGAGUGGCGAACGGGUGAGUAAUACAUCGGAACGUGCCCAGUAAUGGGGGAUAGCUCGGCGAAAGCCGGAUUAAUACCGCAUACGCCCUGAGGGA